UUGAGUUACGACCAUAAAAUACCUACUAACAAACUGAACAAUAUUUAGGUUCAAAGAAGUUCAAAGACAAAUCACAGAAUUAUCGGGAUCAAAACACAAUGAUCCGACAAGUCACAUUUUCUAUCGCAUUGCUGUUAUUGUCAUGCGCUGCGCAAGAGCAGGGUGCUGAAAAUACUACAACUACCACUAAAGAAAACAAUAAUAUAACACAGCAGACUAGUACAGAAAAUGGCCCCAAGUUGAUAGAACAGAACAUUUCUGAAUUAGAUCCAGUCAUAGAACGUUCUUCGCAUUUCCACCACCACAUCCCUGAGGCUUAUUACCACCACCACCAGCCCACGUACCAUGGGUUCUGGAAGAAAAAGUUUGUGUGGCGACCGCGGUGGGUGAAAACAUGGCAAGAGAAAAAGGUCUACGUAGCAGUAUGGAAGAGGAUGUGGGGUCCAGCGAUGCUCAACGAAUGGGUCCCGAUCCCCAAACCUCCCCCAGGCUGGGUAAAACAUGGCGUAGGCUCAUUCGUCGUGCAAACACACCCACACUAAUUAGUACCUAAUAUGAGUUUCGAAUCAUGACGUAUUUCUUUAAUUAAUUGUAUUAAUUUGUGUAUCAGUAUAAUUGAAAACCGUUAAUUUAAUAUCUCACAUAUUGUUAAAUAUUUUACUGAAAAGUUCAGUGGAACUGUAGCGGGAAGGCACGGAUAUUUAUCGUUUUGUUUACUGAAAACCAUAACAUUGACACCGCUCGUCUCUAACUUAGGACUAACUACUUACACGUCCACGGCGUGUCUAUUUCCUAAACCAACUAAUUGGUUGGGCAGUGUUCACCACGUCUUAGAUACUUUGUAAAGCUGUCUAACCGAGUUUCCACUACUUGUGAACUCUGUCUCUUGUCUUUUAUUAGCAACUAUUUAACAAUGCAACUGAAAAUAGGAUAUAGGCAAAUCAACUGCGAUUUUUAUCUAACUACUGCAUUUUCAUUACUUACUCCGUGUUAGGUUUUAUUAUAUCCACUCUCAGACCAUGAGACUUUUUAUAAUCGAGUCAGUACUUAUAUCAUUGUAUGGUAUGAUUUGUAGGUGCGAUUAUGUAUCUACAGACGCCUAGACGCUAGGAAAAUUUGUCACUCUCUACAGUUACAGUUAAAAAUCUAGGUGUGCCAGAAAUACUACAUCAAACGAAACCCACAGAUAAACCAAACAAAGCCCUCUGCCAAAAAAAUAGGUUUCGCAAAAGUCGCUUCGUGAAAUAUUUUCUAAAAAUGUUGAAUUUCGCCCCUUUGCUCCGAUGCGUUUCAUUUUUGGGGUGCAUCUAUUUGGAUUCGUUUUUUAACAUUUUGUUAUCACAGCGAGUUAAUUAAUGAAGUAUUAAUUGCUAACAGUAACGAGCUUCAAACUGGUGCAUUGCAAGCCUAUUAAUAGACGACGCAUUAAACUUACAUCGCAUUGAUAAGAAAUGCACCGCGCAAUGCGUUGCAAAAUAUGUUAGUAAAUAAAUUCGGUCCCUCGGAUCGACUGUCGCGCAUCCCUCGUGAGCUGUCAGUAUCCCGGGAUAAUGUAGCUUCUAGCCUCGGGAAUAGUGAGAUAUUUUUAACUGUUACGGUGAAAUCACUUUUAUUUAUCAUUGGACCAAUCUUUCCAGAGAACCUUCAUACAACCUGAAAUGUACAGAUAUACAACUUUAGUAGGUUUCAACGCUUAAAGGACAUCUGAGACAAAAAACUUCCAGAUGAUUUCUUUAGCGUGGUUGUCCCUAGCCAUGCUAGCGGGCACGCUAGCAUUUCCCAGCGAGCAUAUGGUGACACUCUGUGGA
This is an RNA transcript of Ostrinia nubilalis (European corn borer), 1808 nucleotides long. RefSeq lists it as uncharacterized. NCBI's taxonomy places the organism in Eukaryota, Metazoa, Arthropoda, Insecta, Lepidoptera, Crambidae. The record is from RefSeq and is a predicted model, not a curated record. The transcript is spliced from 5 exons.